This 335-nucleotide ribosomal RNA is filed under the name uncultured Sphingobacteriales bacterium. Its description in RNAcentral is "bacterial SSU rRNA". It matches the Rfam family "Bacterial small subunit ribosomal RNA", at positions 1045 to 1382 of the family's 1533-position model. The record is from RNAcentral. Lineage: Bacteria; Pseudomonadati; Bacteroidota; Sphingobacteriia; Sphingobacteriales.
AUGGUUGUCGUCAGCUCGUGCCGUGAGGUGUCGGGUAAGUCCCAUAACGAGCGCAACCCUAUCAUAGUUGCCAUCAGGUCAAGCUGGGGACUCUAAUGAAACUGCCUACGCAAGUAGUGAGGAAGGUGGGGAUGACGUCAAAUCAGCACGGCCCUUACGUCCAGGGCUACACACGUGCUACAAUGGCCGGUACAAAGGGCAGCUACCUGGUGACAGGAUGCUAAUCUCAAAAGCCGGUCUCAGUUCGGAUCGGAGUCUGCAACCCGACUCCGUGGAGCUGGAAUCGCUAGUAAUCGCGCAUCAGCCAUGGCGCGGUGAAUACGUUCCCGGGCCUU